RNAcentral lists this long non-coding RNA (959 nucleotides) under Sinocyclocheilus anshuiensis. Its description in RNAcentral is "lncRNA (ENSSANG00000033687.1)". The record is from RNAcentral. Lineage: Eukaryota; Metazoa; Chordata; Actinopteri; Cypriniformes; Cyprinidae.
UGCAGAUGUUUUUAUUUAAACAGGCAUAUUACGAUUCAGAGACGCUCAGCUUUACUUGGAAAAAGUUGUUGCAACAAAUUUCACUGCCCAGUGUUUUUAAAAGGACCAGAUGGCACAGGUUGAAUGCACACCUUCCAAUUCACUUCAGAAAGGCAGAUGUCCAUAGAGUAAAUUGACAAGCAGAAUCAUACCAAUUUCCAAUGGAAGCUGAUUGAAAAAGGGAAAGUAAAAAAAAAAAAUCUUAAAAUAUAUCAACUUCUCUUUUCAUUAUAAUGAAAAACAUGAGGGCUUUUCACACAUGAAAUAGUAAACACUGGGUGAAUGUAAACCCCAGGUAAACUGAAUGCUGGUUUAUCUUGCUUCAUGUUUCACACAGAAUAUAAUUUACCUGGGAUUGACAAAUAAUCCUGGGUUUUCAUACGCUGCUGUUUUACACUAUACAUUACUAAACCCCAAGUAAACAUUCUUAUAUGCACAUUUUCUGCAUCAGUGUCACUGAUUGGACAGACACUGCAUGCGAUAUGAUACAAAAAUGCCCAAGCACUGCACAUCCUCAUAUUACAUACAGCUGACUUUAAUAUCAAGUUUAUCCUGAAGGUACUCUUUUAGAUUAUAAAAGUAAGAAAUAUACAGUCUCUUCUUGACCCUGACUGUUGUGUUUUCUGUAAGCAUUUGACAUUUUUAACAUCCUGUCAAAUGCUGAAUUUAAUUUACUGUUUUUAUACAGUGCUUAUUUUUGCAGUGACUGUCCAAAGCACUUGAAUAUGAGGCAGGCAAUUGGUUGUCUGUCUAUUGAUAAAGGGUUAACAAUGCUAAAGCCGUAGAAACCCUUUUCUGGAGUAGGCUUUCAUUACACCAAGUAAAAGUGGUGCUAACCCCCAUUACAAGUGUGAAAUGUUCUUUACUUGGGGUUAAAAGUGAUGUUUACACUGUACAUAUUUAUUUAUAAAUAAAUACAU